GUACAGGUGAGUAAUACAAAAGAAUCUACUUCAAAGUUUUGAUGUAAUCGUGUAUUUGAGAAUAGUUUUUAUUUUACAAAUUAAUUUUAGUAUCGGUAAUCAUCGAAUCAAAUACGGCCUGAGUUCUUGGACUAGGGUGGGUGUAAAAAGGAUAAAUCCGUUUUGAAAUGAGCUUUUGGAGUAUUAGGUUGUUGGUGGAGUAAAGGUCUACCAAGCCGAUGAUGCUUAGUUGAUUUGAGAGGAUGAUCAACCACACUGGAACUGAAACAAUGUCCAGGCUUAAGCCUGCAGUGAGGAAUUUUGGACAAUGAGCGAAAGCUUGAUCCAGUAAUAUUGCGUGAAUGAAGAAGGCGUUAAAGAUUUGUUAAAAGCAAUUCGGUCGUAAAGUUCUUUCGCUAUCGAUAGAUAAUGACAUUAGAUAGAGAAGAAGUCCCAGCUAAUUUCGUGCCAGCAGCUGCGGUUAUACGGAAGGGGCGAACGUUACUCGGAAUGAUUGGGCGUAAAGAGUUUGUAGGUGGUUUUGUGAGUUAUUUGUUAAAUGUAUGGUUUAUAACUUAGAAAAGCAUUUAAUACUCUAAGACUUGAGUAUAAUAGAGGAUAACAGAAUUUUAUACAUANGGGUAAAAUCUUAUAAUUUAUAAAAGAAUGUCAGUNGCGAAGGCGGUUNUCUGGNUUAUUUACUGACNUUGAGAAACGAANGCUUAGGGAGCAAACAGGAUUAGAUACCCUGGUAGUCUAAGCUGUCAAAUAUGGAUAUUAAUGUUUGGAUUUUAUUUUUCUGACAUAUAGUUAACGCGUUAAAUAUCCCGCCUGAGAAGUACGGUCGCAAGACUGGAACUCAAAGGAAUUGACGGGGGUUGAAACAAGUGGUGGAGCAUGUGUUUUAAUUCGAUAAUACACGCAUAAUCUUACCAACUUUUGAAUAACAGUUUUGCUAUAGUGUUAUAGCUAUUGCUUUUUUUUCUUUUUUUAUUAAAAGUUUUGAAAUAACUGUUACAGGUACUGCAUGGCUGUCGUCAGUUCGUGCUGUGAAGUGUUUGGUUUAGUCCUUUAACGAACGCAACUCUCAUUUUAUAUUGGUCUAUUUCUUUUUUAACAUUGGAAUACCACUUAUAAAUUACUACUAAAACUAAUUUAGGGGAAGGUGAGAAUGACGCCAAGUCUUUAUGGUCCUUAUAGGUUGGGCUACACAUGUGCUACAAUGGUAAUUACAAAAAGU
RNAcentral lists this ribosomal RNA (1219 nucleotides) under metagenome. Its description in RNAcentral is "bacterial SSU rRNA". It matches the Rfam family "Bacterial small subunit ribosomal RNA", at positions 100 to 1247 of the family's 1533-position model. The record is from RNAcentral.